CAUUCCUACGGGGCGCAGCAGUCGAGAAUCAUUCACAAUGGGGGAAACCCUGAUGCAGCGACGCCGCGUGAGGGAAGACGGUCUUCGGAUUGUAAACCUCUGUCUUUGGGGAAGAAAAUGACGGUACCCAAAGAGGAAGCUCCGGCUAACUACGUGCCAGCAGCCGCGGUAAUACGUAGGGAGCAAGCGUUGUCCGGAAUUACUGGGUGUAAAGGGAGCGUAGGCGGGAUGGCAAGUAGAAUGUUAAAUCCAUCGGCUCAACCGGUGGCUGCGUUCUAAACUGCCGUUCUUGAGUGAAGUAGAGG
Molecule: ribosomal RNA, 305 nt
Filed under: uncultured bacterium
Lineage: Bacteria
Description: bacterial SSU rRNA
Rfam family: Bacterial small subunit ribosomal RNA
Source: RNAcentral